This 818-nucleotide long non-coding RNA is filed under the name Coturnix japonica (Japanese quail). RNAcentral describes it as "lncRNA (ENSCJPG00005016820.1)". Lineage: Eukaryota; Metazoa; Chordata; Aves; Galliformes; Phasianidae. The record is from RNAcentral.
CUUCUUCAAAAAUAUAGCUCACAGUCAUUUAUUCUAUUUGUUUUCCUUUGUAUAUAAUGCUUGCUCCUGUAACAGACGGUUUUCUUCCAGCAGCACAUUAAGAAACAAAAUUAACACAUCGUGGUAACUACCUGGUUUGUUCCAGGUGAUUCAAUGCUUUGUACCUCAGGCAUUUGCAUUACAGCUUAAUCCAUUACAGACUCUGAAACAGCAACCUGUCAGUGUGCGACAGCAGCACCCUCAGCACAACAUACCAUGUCUGGCUGCAUCGAGAAUGGGACUGACCACGCUGUCAGAGCCAUUGCUUCCAACCCUCAUUUGGAUCUGAGUAGCGAUGAGAAAGAAGCCUCUUCCCCCCCCCCAGUUGUGCAAUCUUCACUUGAGAAUUCCUCAACUCCACUUUGCUUCUUUGGGGACACAAUCAGAACAAAAUAAUUGCAAUCCUCUUCCCAGAGAAAGCAUUCUUCCAAGCCACUCCUCACCAACAACUGCAACACUCCAACUCAAGGCAGCAUAACCCUUUACACUUUCUGGACCAAAAACUCCCAGGAGCAAACCCACAGCCGCUGUCAGUGAGAGCUGCAAGUUCAUGGUUUCUGUCCUCCGUCUGUUACUAACAUAAUCCCUACAAUACACAGCAGAAACAUGAUCUGGGCUCUCUGCGACAUUCCGUAACGUUCUGCACAAGCAUAACAAGGUCAUCGAUACUGCAGUCAGGGCUGCCUGGAGCAAAGGGCUAGAUUCGUAUCAACAGAAUGAAAAACCUUAAUAUUAAAUGAAAAAAAAAUAAAUCUUGUUUUGGCUUUUAAACUAAACCA